This is a long non-coding RNA of Phyllopteryx taeniolatus (common seadragon), 7988 nucleotides long. RefSeq lists it as uncharacterized. The transcript is spliced from 5 exons. The record is from RefSeq and is a predicted model, not a curated record. NCBI's taxonomy places the organism in Eukaryota, Metazoa, Chordata, Actinopteri, Syngnathiformes, Syngnathidae.
UGAUUCGCUUAAAAAAAAGACCACUGGAGUUGAACAUCUAAGGUGGAAUGCCCUGGAGGUCUUACAAUGCAUGUAAGACGUAAAUAUGUCGUGCCAAACCUCCAAGUACCUCACAAGACUGCAGCUAAGCGAGAAUAUAGGUACGGAUGCAGGGCAUUGUGUGCUGGAACCUCCGCCAUUCGAUCAAUCUAGGGAAAACGAUCAGACCCGCAUGGUCGGCUUUGAUCGAAAGCACCACCGUCUUGGUCCGGCAGUCACUCGCACACGUGGUGGCAACGAAGGACAAAGGAAAAGGAAGGGGGAGGGGGGUUGGCCGAAGCCACCCCGUAGCUGGAGAGAUGUUAGCAAGGAAGAACCGCAGCGAAGCAAGACACCAGAGAGAAAGAAGAGGCGGGAGUCAAAGGUUAAAUACCCAGGGGGCGUGUCUAAGGGAUGGAGAAACUACAGAAGACCUCCUGGUGAGUCCUGCCAAUCCAUGUCAACUAAUCUAUACUUCAUUUUCAACUUUUGACCGUUUAUGUUUAAGUGAGAAACUAUCGCCCCCAACUGGGGGAGGUGUAACUUUUAUGCAACACUUUACAGACAUUAUGCAGGGAAUACCACUAGCUCUGGGAGACUUGAAAGCAAUUGUGGGAACUAAAUUUACCUAUCAGGAGUUGCAAACACUGGAGGGGAUCGCCCGCCCGUCCGUGAAUUGAAGGUCACCAGUGGUCAUUAUGUUCUGACUAUUUGUAUGUCAUUUCAACUGCCAUUGCCUCACGUUUGUCUUACGCAGGAGCAGGGGGACUGGUACGAAAUGGGGGACAUGGCGGUACCACACAUCAUUGGCGAUAGGAGCUCAUCAUCAGGCAAAAGAUUUGGGCUCCGAAAUUUCUCAGUGCGUAAAAGCCACUGAUUGGGUCCAGACCGCCAUUAUUGAUGUUGCAUUUUCAUCCACUAUGUUAGCAUAUCGAAUUUCGGCUUAUGUUACAAAUUCUUAAAUUUUAGAAUACCACCAAAUUUCACGAGAUUACUUUAGGGAGCGGAUGGUUCACCACGACGCUGAAAGACUUCUGGCGCAGUUGUUUGAGGCACUGUGGACUCAGGGCCCAACUGAUGUUGCCUACUGCUCCACUGUGCCUCCCAUUACUUUUUGUGUCUCAUCUCCAAACCCCAUCAUGUAGAACCAGUAUCGACGCACCCCGUAGGUUACCUGAGGUAAACAAAACAUCCCGACGCACUAACAGUAGCGAAGGCGUUAUGUAAAGACAUUAUACCGCUUGGCCCUUGACAUGAUCCUUGCCGAAAAGAAUGGUGUUUGGUGCAAUGUUGUACUUUUAUUCCCAACAACACAGCCCCGGAUGGAAAAGUAACGAGAGCCCUACAUGGGUUACAAACUUUGGCUGCUGAAAUGGCAGAUUCAACAGGCGUUUCCAACCCCCUGGAAGAUUGGGCUACGACGUGGUUUGGAAAAUGGAAACACCUUGUAAUUACAUUCAUAAUUGCUAAUGUUACUGCUGUUACUUUGUUAUUGCUUUUCGGAUGCUGUAUUAUUCCAUGUAUGAGGACACUGUGUGUCAAGAUGCUCACGGGUGUGGUGGGAAAGAAUAUCAACCAGCUGGAAUCACAGAUGUUGAUGACAUCCGAAGGAGCUCCUACUCCUGAAGUUCUGCUCACACAAGACGACGUCGUGUCCAGAUGGAUGAAUUAUUGAUGAAGAAUAUACAGUGUCUUUUCUCUUAGCAUGUUACGGGACUUGUCUUUUUCCCUCCUCAAAUCAAUAUAUGGGGAGGUUUUUGCCUGUCUCAAGAGUAGUACUGCCUUAUGAAGAAUGCUUAGCUCAUGACUACAUUAUUUAUAUAUCCUCUUAUAGUCUUCCACAUAGAGUAGUACUGCUUAGGGUAUGUUACAUAGUUCCACUAUGUAAACAGGGGAAUUGUUGGAUUGUUCUAUUUGUACUCAUGAAGCUAUGUUCCUUUCUUUAACAAUUAAGUUCCAUUUCCAAAACAUCCAAGGCCAGAGGGGUGCCCACAUCUUAGGAUGACUCCCUUUUCUUCUUUAUAGCACCCGAGGUAGAUUACUGAAGAAUGAUGUUCUUAGGAUGACUCCCUUUUCUGAUAACACCCAAGGCCAGAGGUACCUUCUGCUAAACAUAUAUCAAAACCUUCUCCCAGGCAGAUCCAACUUACAUAGAUGCAAUUGGAAUUCCAAGAGGGGUACCUGAUGAAUACAAAUUAGUAGAUCAAGUAGCAUCAGGGUUUGAAUCUACAAUCUGUUGGUGGUGUACAACCAAUAAAAACGUAGACCGAAUAAACUACAUCCACUACAAUGUACAGCGGUUAAGAAAUUGGACAUAGGACGGUUUUGAGGCCGUACAUGAGCAAUUGGCAGCCACAUCUUUAAUAUAAUUUCAGAACAGAAUUGCACUAGAUAUGUUGCUUGCGGAGAGAGGAGGAGUGUGUGCCAUGUUUGGAGAACAGUGCUGUACGUUUAUUACAAAUAACACCGCAGCAGACGGCAGCCUGACUAGGGCCAUUGAUGGCCUGCGCACCCUCAACCGCAAGACGAAAGAACAUUCUGGCGUGGACACAUCCAUGUGGGACGAAUAGAUGAAAGUGUUUGGCAAGUAUAAGAUGUUGGUCUCAUCAAUUUUAAUAUCAAUAGCAGUAUUUGCUGCAAUACUGACAUUGUGUGGAUGUUGCUGUAUUCCAUGUUUACGAGCACUUCUGAAUAGAUUAAUCACCACCGCAAUCCAACCUAUGAGCAAUCGUGCAGAACAAAUGUACCCCCUUCUAACAAAACAGAACCAGGAUAGUUCUGAUGACGAUGAUGAUAGUGAAAUGGAGAUCGGAACAUUAUUUGAUUCAGCUGAGGAGAUCAAAUAAAUCAUUUCAUGUCUUGUGUUCAUGAUAAUGAUCUUACAGCCAAAAAUCAGAAGAAGCGGCUGCUAAAUAAGUGAUGUGAAACAUGAGCAAAAAUGAUAAACAGGAGGGAAAUGAUAGAAAAAUGUAAAUAAGUUAUCAUGUGUUGUGCUUUUCUGCUUACUUCUAGUUAGAGAAAUGUUUUAUCACUGCGUGCAAAGCUUUUUCCCACAGGAUGAGUCAUGUGCUUGCAGGUGCAAGGACAAACUUGAGCCAAGGAGUUUCCUGUUUCUUGAUAAGAAGCAUAUAACCCCUCUACUGUCUCGACCACAACAAAAAGUGUUAUGUGCUGAUCACAUGAGUUGCAACAAGCAUGUAUGCCCCCACCUUUUAGACGUUGCAACUCGUAUGUAACAAGGGAACUGCCCUAAGGAAAUAAAAAGAGAGGGUUCGGCAGAGUGAACUUAGAACGGGUUGGAGAUUGUAAUUCAGUACACUCUCGUCCGUCCUCGUUGCAAGUCUGAAAACUGUACUGCCUCUGUGUCCGUCUUGUUUUUACAAAUGUUCUAGGUGUCUUGAACCUGACAUGAGGUCAAGAGAGGGAGUUGUAAGGAUUAGGCAAAUAUUUUAGCUAAAGAAAUAAAUGUAAAAAUAUAAUAUUCCAGUUAUUCAAAUAACCAUAACAGCUAACAUUGCAAAAAAAACUAGCUAACAUUGUGUGCAAGAAGGAGAAGUACUCUCAUAUGAUUUUUGGCCAUAAACAUAUAUGUUUUGUCAAUAUGCUGCCAAGUGUAUUUUUUAUCUUGUUUGUCACAGAAGGGCGGGAGUCGCAGGAGGUCUCAGAUGUUGCAAAAAGUGGCCCCAGGUGACAGCUGAUGAACUGAAAACAAGUCAGGCUCUUGACAACACCAGCAAGAGUACCUGCGUCACCUGCUCUCGGGUGGCGCUUAUCACCAACAGCCAGAUGGGGCGUGGGCACAGCAGCAACAUCAUGAAGUGUCAAAGCAUAAACUAUAAAUGUAAUGGCUAUGAGGGAGAGGCGUUCUUUUCCCCUGUCUACUAGUGACGGGACUUUUGGACAGGGAAAAACGGCCCUGGAAUUCCAUGUGUCUGUGACGUAAUCAUACUGAGCUCUGGGACAUAAAUACGGAGCAAAUUGCAACGAGUGUGUGUUCAUUCUUUGGUCAUCUUUCAUUGGAAAAGCAACGAAUAUGCAGCGGGAGUUGUGGAGAUACGUUGUUCAAUAAGGGUAUGGAAUAAAUGCACACUUCCAACAGGGGUUGCUAUGACAACCGGGCCAUAGUCACUACUGAAGGGAAUAUAGAAUACUUUAUAUUCUAAUAUGUAAUUCUAUAUGUAAUAUAAUAUAAUAUAGAGUUUCAUGGUGUAACUAGUUUGGAAGGUAAGCAAGGAUGUGUAUUGCAGUAUAAUCAGAUAAGGGGGUAGGAGUUUAUUGCAGGAAAGCCCCCCCAUCAGGGUGUAUUUGGAGACAAUAAAAAAACAGAUGUCAAAGAAGAAAAGGACUGCGGGGAGCCACUAUAAACAUUGAAUUCAGGAAUGUGGGCCGGAGUCUGAAGGCGACAUCUGGAGCCAGAUUAAAUGGUCAUCAUUCUGCCGAGCAACGAUGAUGUCAGAUUAGACCACGGACCAAUCAGACGACAGCGAUACCAUACUUUCCCGUUUGAAACAUUGUAUAAGUCUGGGGUAGAAUCAGUUUUUUGUUCGACUACUCUACCUGCUAAAGAUAAGAUAGGGAUAGUUACGAACCCAGAGCUCUGCAAAAUGUAUAGACUCCUCUGUCAGGAAUAAAUUUGUUGUUUUUUAUGCAUUGUUGUGAACGUAGUUCUUUCACGAAAACAAGCACGCUGGGAACCACGAGAGAAAUAGGAGAUUUUAAACACAGGUUCCUUCAAAUGGUGACCCUGAUGUGAUCCUGGAAGAACAUUAGAUAAAAAGAAAGAGGAGCAGACAGGAAUUCAGUUGGACUGCAAAUCCCCCCGGUGCACCGAAAUAAAAAAGGUGAGCAGAAGCCUGAUUGAUUAUAUCACGAAUUCUGCAGAUUGUAAAUUGCGAAAUUUGGGAGACUUGUGGUACAGUUGUUUUGUUGUCAAUAGUUAAUAAGACGUUGUGUUGUUAAAAUUGCAUAAUCAGAAGUCAGGGUAACAGAGGACCUGACGUCAGGGUAACAAGGUACCUGACAAACCAGGAUAAUAGAAAAUCCUGGGAGAAGGGUAACAAGGUACCUACUUGUCCCGUCGUAGACUGACUUGAAAUCGGACGCGGUUUCAAAUUGUAACGUUUCGGUAGAGCUUGGGGAUUUUGGGACCCCCAAAAACCGAUGUAGAAUAAGAUGAGUGUGCCACCAAAACUCGGGGUUGUGAAUUGGACAGUCGAGUGUAGAGGUAAUGAAUGUGAUAUGUGUCGGAGUGAUUACCAGAAGUCAUUGGAGGAUUUGUGGAUUGAAAUAGAAAGUCAGAAAAAGAAACAAGCAGGAUUAAGAAGUGUGUGGGAAAAGUGGAAAAGAAAAAGGAAUGUAAGUUGUUUCACGUAACAGAGAGGUUGUUCUGAAAGGGAAAAAAGAUGAAGGAAAAGUUGGAUGCUGCAGGGUGGAGAGAGAAAAGAGAUUUGAAUAAGAAAAUAGAAGAGAAUGAAAAAUCGAGGAGAAAAAUUAAUGACAUUUGUCUGGUGUGCCCUGCCAUGGCAGCUGUUCAGCGGGAAAAAAAAGAGCGACAAAUUCCCCCGCUGAAUACAAUUUACGGACCUUCCCGAAAACGGCCCCAGUGACGUUCCUAUAUGCCGGUCAAGGGAGCUGCUCUAAUGACAGACCAACUGUAGAGGGGAAAUAAAACUCCUAUCAAUUCCGUACGAGCCCGCAUUCAAAAAGGUGGGUAAAUAUACAAAAAUUGUCCUUAAAAGAUUUUGAGUUUUUUACAGAAACGGCUGCCCGGACUGGCUGCUGUUGGUGUAAUUUGGAUCCAGGGGCUGAAAAAGUUGACGGACAACAUGAGCCUGGCGUGUGCUGACGUAUGUUUGCGGUCAUCCGUGACAUGCUCCCGCUCUCCGAGCCGACGAGACGAGGCACCCGGACUACAAAACUAUCAUGGAUCCCAGUUCUCACUUUGAAAAUUGCACAAGUAUUUGGACAGAUAAGACAAGGUCACAUCCCUCCCAUUUAAGGGAGGCAAAUGUUAUUUAUAGAAUUGCUUUGCUUGACAGAUUGCCAGCUGAAGUUAGGACUGAACUUUUAAAGACCCUGACCUCAUGAAAGGGGGAGAUGCUACUUUAAUUGUCAUGUGUCACACCAUUUGAAACUUUUUGUCGACAGACAACACAAAUCAUCAGAUGAGGUAAAGGACAUGCACGAACAACUUUUGAAGCUACAAUUGGCCCAGGCCCGUAAAGUGGCCAUUAAAAAAAUAAAUAAAUAAAAAAUAAAAAUGGAAACAGAAAAGCAGAUGUGGAUGGCGCAGGGGUCAACGAGGAGACGAGGCGGGAGUUGUGACAGGGGAUACACCAACGGAGGCAGGGGAAGCGCUCGCCGACCUCCAACGGACCAAGCGUGCUUCAAUUGUGGUCAGUAUGGACACUGGUAUCGCCAAUGUACUGUUUCCCCAAUGAUUCAACAGCGACCUCCAGUGGAACCCGGAGGGGCCACACCUCAAAGAGGAGGCUACAAAGCUCCACGAGGGAGAGGUUGACGCGGCCCCGCACCCUGACAACAGCAUCCGCAGCAGGCUCCACAGCAACAAGAGCCAUCUCGCCAGUACUACUGCGAUGAGGACUGGUCCGAAUGCCCAAUGAGCCCGGAGCCAGCAGACGGAGGAAAGACAGAGCCUCUUAACCCCGCUAAGGGAAGACGACCACCUGAAUGAGCUGUGCAGGAGUGCCCAUGAGUCUGCCGAUUACGACACCAUUAAAGACUGAAAUUGCUGGACAGACACAUGAACAUCAGUUUGUCCUCAUGAAAGGAGGGGCUCCAGUGAAUCUGAUGGGCAGAGAUCUGCUUAUCUAAACCAGGGCUACCAUCCUUUGUAGCCCGGACGGACUGACGAUAUGAACUGAGAGGGGAAAAUUGUCCACUGCAUGGAACUUCCGGAAGCGACCGCUGCAGAAACCAAGUGAAACACUUUUUCACUUGCACUAGGUCAUGAAGCCUGAGAACUGGGACCGAUGGGUGCCACGGUAGACGGGGAAUGUUGGAGCAUGUGACUUUGGCACGAUUCCAUGGCAGAGAGCUCUCGGACCAUGAGGACGGCGCACAGCUGUUGAACUCGCUGCCGGACUUACUGUGGUCCGAGGGGCCUGCAGAUGGCAUCCGUGACUCCGGUAACAUUCGAGAUGAUAUGGUUCUGUUGGCUUCAUCAAGCCACAAUCUUCAACUCACGCCGGACUGGUUCACAGCCAAGUGUGAAGCGGUGAAGCCCAAGUGGAGGAAUUCUAUAGUAUCUUGUUCACAAGUGAGGGAAGAAUGAAGCAGGAUAUCGACAGGAAAAUUGGUGCAGCAUCUGCAGUAAGGGGGACUCUGCAUCGGUCUGUCAUCUGUCAAGAAUGAGCUGAGCUGAAAGGCAAAGCUCUCAAUUUACAGGUCGAUCUGCGUUCCCACCCUCAGCUAUGGCCAUAAGUUGUGAGUUGUGACCAAAAGAACAAAAUCACAGAUACAAGCAGCCGAAAUGAGUUUCCUCCUCAGGGUGGUCUCCCUCAGAGAUAGGCUGAGAAGCUGGGUCAUCCAGGAAGGGUUCAGUGUAGAGCAGCUAAUCCGCCACAUUGAGAGGAUCCAGAUGAGGAGGCUUGGGCAUUUGGUUAGGAUGCCUCCUAAACGCCUCCACGGUGAGGGGUUCCUGCACAAGACCCAGGAGACACUGGAGUGACUAAAGGCCUCUUUAUACUCCCGCGCCCGCAUUGCAUCACAUGACCAACGCAUUUGGCCGCGCUGCCCCUAUGCGGCACUUGACGCGCACCUGUCACUCUCCCCGUGUCUGGCAUCGGGAGUCUGAAACGAAUUUCGACGGGGUACAGACAUCUACUGGUCUGUUGCCUGUGCCAAGCAGCUCUCAGUCCAGCACCCCUCAGGCCAACGGUCCUCACCUCAGCAGCCCUCAGCCCAGCAGCUCAGCAGGCACAACUGGCCAGCAGCCACAUCCUGCAUCU